UCUCUUGUCUCUCAAAAAUGAAUACACGUUAGAAAAAAAAAAAAAAGAGUGGCCUUGACCUUGGCGGAUAAGACAGCUGUGGUGCAAAGUCCACCUGCCACAUCCUUCUCUCCCCUCCUUUCUGCCAGCACGGGCCGCCUGCUGCCUCCCGGGCUCUCUGCAGCUCCAUGAGGCCAGGAGAUCAGUCCAGCCAAUGAACUUCGAGGGGCUGACAGGCAAACAUCGGUGUUCUCAGGUCUCCACCUUUGAGGGUCUCGCUUGUUUCAGCGGCUGAAGCAGCGGCCGGUAAAGCAGAGCCCGUCUUGACCGUGAAGUUUUACCGGCACGUGACCACGGCCACUCAUUCCCGCAAGAUCCAGGGCUGUUUGGGGCCGCGACGGCAGACUUGAGCCCUUACGACCCACGCGGUCUGGCCUUUGGAGACCAGGGCCCUGUGGGACGGCACGGGUGCCUGGCAUGUCCUGCCGGGGCGCGCUGCCCCUCCUGUCAUCGGUCGUGACCUCGGGGAGAUCGAGCCCCACGUUGGGCUCCGC
This is a long non-coding RNA of Leopardus geoffroyi (Geoffroy's cat), 533 nucleotides long. RefSeq lists it as uncharacterized. The transcript is spliced from 3 exons. NCBI's taxonomy places the organism in Eukaryota, Metazoa, Chordata, Mammalia, Carnivora, Felidae. The record is from RefSeq and is a predicted model, not a curated record.